UUUGGGUUGUAAAGCUCUUUCGUCGGGGAAGAAAAUGACUGUACCCGAAUAAGAAGGUCCGGCUAACUUCGUGCCAGCAGCCGCGGUAAUACGAAGGGACCUAGCGUAGUUCGGAAUUACUGGGCUUAAAGAGUUCGUAGGUGGUUGAAAAAGUUGGUGGUGAAAUCCCAGAGCUUAACUCUGGAACUGCCAUCAAAACUUUUCAGCUAGAGUAUGAUAGAGGAAAGCAGAAUUUCUAGUGUAGAGGUGAAAUUCGUAGAUAUUAGAAAGAAUACCAAUUGCGAAGGCAGCUUUCUGGAUCAUUACUGACACUGAGGAACGAAAGCAUGGGUAGCGAAGAGGAUUAGAUACCCUCGUAGUCCAUGCCGUAAACGAUGUGUGUUAGACGUUGGAAAUUUAUUUUCAGUGUCGCAGCGAAAGCGAUAAACACACCGCCUGGGGAGUACGACCGCAAGGUUAAAACUCAAAUGAAUUGACGGGGACCCGCACAAGUAGUGGAGCAUGUGGUUUAAUUCGAAGAUACGCGCAGAACCUUACCAACACUUGACAUGUUCGUCGCGACUUUAAGAGAUUAAAGUUUUCGGUUCGGCCGGACGAAACACAGGUGCUGCAUGGCUGUCGUCAGCUCGUGUCGUGAGAUGUUGGGUUAAGUCCCGCAACGAGCGCAACCCUCACUUUUAGUUGCCAUCAUUAAGUUGGGCACUCUGAAAGAACUGCCAGUGAUAAGCUGGAGGAAGGUGGGGAUGACGUCAAGUCCUCAUGGCCCUUACGUGUUGGGCUACACACGUGCUACAAUGGUAUCUACAACAGGAAGCAAAACUGCGAGGUUAAGCAAAUCCUUAAAAGAUACCUCAGUUCGGAUUGCACUCUGCAACUCGAGUGCAUGAAGCUGGAAUUACUAGUAAUCGUGGAUCAGCGUGCCACGGUGAAUGCGUUCCCGGGUCUUGUACACACCGCCCGUCACACCAUGGGA
This 973-nucleotide ribosomal RNA is filed under the name marine metagenome. RNAcentral's name for it is "bacterial SSU rRNA". It matches the Rfam family "Bacterial small subunit ribosomal RNA", at positions 417 to 1409 of the family's 1533-position model. The record is from RNAcentral.